AGCCACGUGGGGGAGGAUGAGAAGAGGUUAAAUAUAGCCAUGGAAAAAACAACCAGCAGACUAGAAAGCACCUUCAGGCUUAACAUCAACAGAGGCUGUCAUUUCCCAGGAUUCCUCAGCCAUGCUCCGGUGAUACCUGUUUGAAAUCGGACUUCAGGCAAGCUGGUUCCUUCUCGUGUGGCUAAGACGAUGUGGAACGAAACUAGAGCCUUAUAUCAUGAUUAGCAAACACCCCUGGUCUGGGGGUCAGUGAAUCUUCGUGGGGAUCUGCAGAAGGUGCAGCUGUUGGAAACUCCCCGGCUGCUUCACAGUCGUGAGGUGAGCUGGCAGAUCUCUUGCUCCCUUUGACUACCAGCUACUACACAUGGUUAUGGAUUGGGACAUGGCUCCAGCCCAGACUCUAAUUGACGUACCUCCUCCUGAUGAUGGCAGAGGCAGAGCCUGGAUCUGGUGCCUGUGGUGAUGGCAGCAUCCUGAUGCGGUGGCUUCUGUCCGAGGUGCUGACUCCCUCAGUGGGCAGACCUGUGCUGGGGGGUCAGUCCUGGAAGUACAGUCCAUUUUCUCCCAAUCUGUGCACUCUCUGUAUCUUGUAACUUGUCCCUUUGGCUUAAAUUGGUGUGUUAGAGUCUGUUAUAGUCUGCUAUAACAGAAUACCACAGACUUAAGGCCAACAGAAAUGUAUUUCUCACAGUUCGGGAGGCUGGACGUCCAAAGUCAGGUUCUGACGAGAAUCCCCUUCCAGCUUGCCGACUGCUGACUUCUGAGUGUGCUCUCGCAUGGUGGUAGGGACAAGGGAGCCCUUUUCGAAGGGCAUCACUCUCAUUCUUGAGGGUUCCACCUCGUGACCUCAUCGCUUCCCAAAGGCACCCCCACCUUCUGAUACCAUCGCAUUGGGGGUUAGAAAAUUCUAAAAUUCUAAAAAUUCAACACGUGAGUUUGGGCGGUGAGGGGGAGACACAAACAUUUAAACCGUAGCAAGUAUCUAGAGUAACUUCUGCUGUGUUAGUCUAACCUGGCCAAUGUGCCUUGUAUGCCUAUAGGUAUCGUGAUUCUACUGCAAGACAUGUGAGUUUGAAAGGGAACAGAUUUCUAAUUUGGAAACUCGUUUUCCUCAAAAACUAGAAAGCCUUUCUCCAUUGCCUCUGGCUUUCAGUGUGGUUGCUGAGAAUUCUGAAGCCGUUCUUUUUCCUGGGUCUGUAUGUGAUUUACUUCUCUGCAAAUCUUUUUUUGUUUUGUAUCAAAGUAGUAUUUACUCUUAGUUUUUUUGUUUUUUAUGCUGUCAAGUCUAUAAAUGGUCAUAUUUUAAAGAUUCAGAAAGUUCUGUGUGUUGUCUUAUGAAAAAACAGCUGUUUUCUGACUUUGUCCCCCCCCCCAUCCCAUUUCCUUACUGUUAGAAGCAACCACUUUCACUGCUAGUGUAUGUGAAUAUAUAAUUAACGCAUUUUUAGCACACAUGAAGGGGAUCCUGGGAAGUCUUUCAAAAUUCUCACAUUUGGCUUUCUACAUCAAAGUGGAUAACUUCCUUGUACCUAAACAGACUUUGGGGUGUAGGCGUUAGAGACCCUGUAAUAGCAGUUGGUGAGUUUUUCUUCCCCUUUCACUUAUUUGGUGGUAGGAUCUGAACCUAGGCUGAGAUCUGAAAAUGGAAGGAGGCUCUUCUUCCAGGGGAUGACAAGUAAGAGAUCUGGUGAAUUGGGGUCCCUAAAGUUCCUGGCACCAGCACCUGGGAUACGACUCCUGACAUGGGGAAAAGGCUGGGGAGUGAAAUCUAGAGAGCUGGAGUAGGAAGCUGCAGAAAAGUGAUAUAUGGAGCUUCUGAACUGAGCUGAGCCCUAAGAGAUUGGAAUCUGCCCCCCCAUGGAACCUAUAAAAACCACUGUACCCCGGGCAGGGGAGUGUACAGGCGGAGGCUAGCCUCAGGCGGUCACUUUGGACCCUACUUAAGCACCUGGAGAAACAGCAGCAUCAGACAGAGGAAGCCAGUCUAGGCUGUCUGGGCCUCAGCUACAACUUUGUAUACCUUCGGUGUGCUUACUUGUUCCAUGACAACCAGCUGCAGAAACUCUUACCAAUUUCUUUGGCUUCACGGGAGUACAUUUGGUUUCUGGAGCAGCAAAGCAGUGAGAUAAGAACAACCAGGAUUCCUUCCUGAGACUCAUUAGAAUCCUGGAAUUUCUACAUGGAUGGAGGGGACAAGGGAUUCCAAGAGAUAAACUGAUUUCCUGCUAAAAUGGUUAUUGAGCGUGGCAUCAGGGACCCCCGGGACAAGGCUGGCUGCUAUUCAGGAGUCUAUGAAGGGUGCCUGGGGGGCUCAGUUGGAGGAACCUGUGGCUCUUAAUCUCAGGGUCGUGAGUGUGAGCCCCACGUGCGACGUAGAGAUUACUUAAAUAAACAAAACUGAAAAAAGGAACAAUCUGAAAUAAGACAUAUUGGUUACACAUAUUAUGAUUUACUUACCCUGUCUCUCAACUUCUCUGGACACUAGCAACUCUGGCUAGCUGUUGUUAUGGACAGAAUGUUUGUGUCCUUCCCCACUCCACCCCAAAUUUCUAUGUUGAAAUCUGGACCCUCCCCCCCUGCCCUCCACCCCCACCCCAUGUGAUGGUGUUAGGAGGCAGGGCCUCUGGGAGGUGAUUAGGUCACAAAAUUGGAACUUUUGACACUAAUGAAUGCGAUUAGUUUCUUUAUGAAAGAGACCUCAGACAACUCUUGCCCCUUGUGCCAUGUGAGGACACAGUGAAGAGAUGAUCAUGUUUGAAUCAGGAAGCAGGAUCUAACCACACACCAAGUCUGUGGGCACCUUGAUCUUGGACUUCUCAGCCUCUGGAACUCUGAGAAAUAAAUGAUGUUUAAGCCAUUCAGUCUACAGUAUUUUUACGACAGCAGCCUGAAUGGACUAAGAUACCUGUACUUUCUUCCUUCCUACCUUCCUCCCUCCCUCCUUCCUACCUUUUUUCCUUC
Prionailurus viverrinus (fishing cat) is the source of this 2961-nucleotide RNA transcript. RefSeq lists it as uncharacterized. The record is from RefSeq and is a predicted model, not a curated record. The transcript has 5 exons. NCBI's taxonomy places the organism in Eukaryota, Metazoa, Chordata, Mammalia, Carnivora, Felidae.